GGGCGAUUAGCUCAGUUGGUUAGAGCGCCACUCUUACACAGUGGAUGUCGUGGGUUCGAGUCCCUCAUCGCCCACUA
Molecule: transfer RNA, 77 nt
Filed under: Planctomycetota bacterium
Lineage: Bacteria; Pseudomonadati; Planctomycetota
Description: Planctomycetes bacterium tRNA-Val
Rfam family: tRNA
About the family: Transfer RNA (tRNA) molecules are approximately 80 nucleotides in length. Their secondary structure includes four short double-helical elements and three loops (D, anti-codon, and T loops). Further hydrogen bonds mediate the characteristic L-shaped molecular structure. tRNAs have two regions of fundamental functional importance: the anti-codon, which is responsible for specific mRNA codon recognition, and the 3' end, to which the tRNAs corresponding amino acid is attached (by aminoacyl-tRNA synthetases). tRNAs cope with the degeneracy of the genetic code in two manners: having more than one tRNA (with a specific anti-codon) for a particular amino acid; and 'wobble' base-pairing, i.e. permitting non-standard base-pairing at the 3rd anti-codon position.
Source: RNAcentral